Molecule: ribosomal RNA, 1933 nt
Filed under: human gut metagenome
Description: bacterial LSU rRNA
Rfam family: Bacterial large subunit ribosomal RNA
Source: RNAcentral
UUAAGCUAAUAAGAGCGCAGGGAGGAUGCCUUGGCAUCAGGAGCCGAAGAAGGACGUGGUAAGCUGCGAAAAGCUACGGGGAUUGGCAAGCACGAUAUGAUCCGUAGAUGUCCGAAUGGAGCAAUCCACAUGGAGUCAAGUCCAUGUAUCAUAUACUGAAUAAAUAGGUAUAUGAGGGGAACCGCCCGAACUGAAACAUCUAAGUAGGGCGAGGAAAAGAAAUCAACCGAGAUUCUGUGAGUAGUGGCGAGCGAAAGCGGAAGAGGCUAAACCAUAGGUAGCAAUACUUAUGGGGUUUCGGACAGCAUUUAGUAUUGAUAAUUUCUAGUUGAAACGUGUGGGAAAACGUACCGAAGAGUGUGAGAGUCACGUAAGCGAAAGAGAGAGUCAGCGAGCUGUAUCCAAAGUACCGCGGGACACGUGAAACCCCGUGGGAAGAUGGGGGGACCAUCCUCCAAGCCUAAAUACUACCUGAUGACCGAUAGCGAAAAGUACUGUGAAGGAAAGGUGAAAAGCACCCCGGGAGGGGAGUGAAAGAGAACCUGAAACCCUGUGCUUACAAGCACUUAGAGCACGUCAAAGUGUGAUAAGGUACCUAUUGUAGAAUGGUCCGGCGAGUUAUUGUAUGCAGCGAGGUUAAGUAGUUCAGCUACGGAGCCGAAGUGAGAGCGAGUGUUAACAGCACGUUCAGUUGCAUGCAAUAGACCCGAAACCGGGUGACCUAUCCAUGUCCAGGAUGAAGUGAGGGUAAAACCUCAUGGAGGUCCGAACCCACUCCCGUUGAAAUGGUAGGGGAUGAGGUGUGGAUAGCGGAGAAAUUCCAAUCGAACCCGGAUAUAGCUGGUUCUCCCCGAAAUAGUUUUAGGACUAGCCUCGUGAUUAAGAUUAUCGGAGGUAAAGCACUGAAUGGCCUAGGGGUCGAGAGAUUACCGAAGCCUAUCAAACUCUGAAUGCCGAAUAAUCAUGCACGGGAGUCAGACUGUGUGAGAUAAGUUUCAUAGUCGAAAGGGAAACAGCCCAGACCUACAGCUAAGGUCCCAAAGUACGUUUAAGUGGAAAACGAUGUGAAAUUGCGUAGACAACCAGGAUGUUGGCUUAGAAGCAGCCAUACAUUAAAAGAGUGCGUAAUAGCUCACUGGUCGAGAGGUCCUGCGCCGAAAAUGUCCGGGGCUGAAACGCGCCACCGAAACUAAGGAACCGAAAGGUUGGUAGAGGAGCAUUGCAUGCGGGAAGAAGCAGUACCGUAAGGAGCUGUGGACUGCAUGGAAGAGAGAAUGCCGGAAUGAGUAGCGAGAAUAAGGUGAGAAUCCUUAUGGCCGAAUAUCCAAGGUUUCCAGAGUAAAGCUGAUCUGCUCUGGGUAAGUCGGGGCCUAAGGCGAGGUCAAAAGACGUAGCCGAUGGACAACAGGUUUAGAUUCCUGUACCGCAUAUAAACAGAACUGUGGGGACGCAUGGGGAGAGCAUGGGCCGGGAAUGGAAAUACCGGUGCAAGCGAAGGAGGUGUGCAGCCGGCAAAUCCGCUGCAUGAGCCGAAAGCGUGACGCGGAGCGAAAUGAAAGUAGCGAAGCAUGUGAGCCCUGUGCCGAGAAAAGCCGCUAUUGUUUUAUAUGUGCCCGUACCGUAAACCGACACAGGUGGAUGAGGAGAGAAUCCUAAGGCCGACGGAAGAAGCAUUGUUAAGGAACUCGGCAAAAUGACCCCGUAACUUCGGGAGAAGGGGUGCCCACGAAAGUGGGCCGCAGAGAAUAGGCUCAAGCAACUGUUUAGCAAAAACACAGGUCUAUGCGAAACCGAAAGGUGAAGUAUAUGGGCUGACGCCUGCCCGGUGCUGGAAGGUUAAGAGGAGAGGUUAGCGCAAGCGAAGCUUUGAAUUUAAGCCCCAGUAAACGGCGGCCGUAACUAUAACGGUCCUAAGGUAGCGAAAUUCCUUGUC